AUGGGCCCUCAACACCCAUCAAUGCAUGGUGUUCUUCGACUGAUCGUUACUCUCGAUGGUGAGGAUGUUAUUGAUUGUGAACCCAUAUUAGGUGUUUUAUCUAUAAAGUGGGGCGAAAGCCUAUUUCAAGAUGUAUCACUAGUACAACAUUUUUCAUCUUAUAAUUUGGAGCGUUCCUGCACUUACAGCUAG
RNAcentral lists this ribosomal RNA (192 nucleotides) under Triticum aestivum (bread wheat). Its description in RNAcentral is "partial small subunit ribosomal RNA". Lineage: Eukaryota; Viridiplantae; Streptophyta; Magnoliopsida; Poales; Poaceae. The record is from RNAcentral.